Molecule: ribosomal RNA, 712 nt
Filed under: Staphylococcus simulans
Lineage: Bacteria; Bacillati; Bacillota; Bacilli; Caryophanales; Staphylococcaceae
Description: bacterial SSU rRNA
Rfam family: Bacterial small subunit ribosomal RNA
Source: RNAcentral
UUAUGGAGAGUUUGAUCCUGGCUCAGGAUGAACGCUGGCGGCGUGCCUAAUACAUGCAAGUCGAGCGAACAGACGAGGAGCUUGCUCCUCUGACGUUAGCGGCGGACGGGUGAGUAACACGUGGGUAACCUACCUAUAAGACUGGGAUAACUCCGGGAAACCGGGGCUAAUACCGGAUAACACAUGAAACCGCAUGGUUUCAUGAUGAAAGACGGUUUUGCUGUCACUUAUAGAUGGACCCGCGGCGUAUUAGCUAGUUGGUAAGGUAACGGCUUACCAAGGCAACGAUACGUAGCCGACCUGAGAGGGUGAUCGGCCACACUGGAACUGAGACACGGUCCAGACUCCUACGGGAGGCAGCAGUAGGGAAUCUUCCGCAAUGGGCGAAAGCCUGACGGAGCAACGCCGCGUGAGUGAUGAAGGUCUUCGGAUCGUAAAACUCUGUUAUUAGGGAAGAACAAGGAUGUAAGUAACUGUGCAUCCCUUGACGGUACCUAAUCAGAAAGCCACGGCUAACUACGUGCCAGCAGCCGCGGUAAUACGUAGGUGGCAAGCGUUAUCCGGAAUUAUUGGGCGUAAAGCGCGCGUAGGCGGUUUUUUAAGUCUGAUGUGAAAGCCCACGGCUCAACCGUGGAGGGUCAUUGGAAACUGGAAAACUUGAGUGCAGAAGAGGAAAGUGGAAUUCCAUGUGUAGCGGUGAAAUGCGCAGAGA